Molecule: ribosomal RNA, 492 nt
Filed under: uncultured bacterium
Lineage: Bacteria
Description: partial 16S ribosomal RNA
Rfam family: Bacterial small subunit ribosomal RNA
Source: RNAcentral
AGUGAACGCUGGCGGUAGGCCUAACACAUGCGAGUCGAACGGCAGCACAGUAAGAGCUUGCUCUUACGGGUGGCGAGUGGCGGACGGGUGAGGAAUACAUCGGAAUCUACUUUUUCGUGGGGGAUAACGUAGGGAAACUUACGCUAAUACCGCAUACGACCUACGGGUGAAAGCAGGGGAUCUUCGGACCUUGCGCGAUUGAAUGAGCCGAUGUCGGAUUAGCUAGUUGGCGGGGUAAAGGCCCACCAAGGCGACGAUCCGUAGCUGGUCUGAGAGGAUGAUCAGCCAGACUGGAACUGAGACACGGUCCAGACUCCUACGGGAGGCAGCAGUGGGGAAUAUUGGACAAUGGGCGCAAGCCUGAUCCAGCCAUACCGCGUGGGUGAAGAAGGCCUUCGGGUUGUAAAGCCCUUUUGUUGGGAAAGAAAAGCAGCAGGUUAAUACCCCGCUGUUCUGACGGUACCCAAAGAAUAAGCACCGGCUAACUUCGUG